This is an RNA transcript of Mesocricetus auratus (golden hamster), 2112 nucleotides long. It is a transcript of the gene named translation initiation factor IF-2-like, with no coding region annotated. Lineage: Eukaryota; Metazoa; Chordata; Mammalia; Rodentia; Cricetidae. The record is from RefSeq and is a predicted model, not a curated record. The transcript is spliced from 4 exons.
UAGAGAAGUGACUGACAGAUUAAAGACGUGUUCCAAAGGAGAACUGGAACAGAAUGUGUGCAAACCGAACCUUUAAAAUAAAACACACCAUCAACAAGAUCACUAGGUAUACCGUAUUUAAAUGGUAUCUUUAGGGGUGGAUUUACAGGAACUUCCUUCCGGGACUACAGUGACAGGGACUACAGUGACAUUUUUCAAAAAAAGGCCUGGCCAGGCUUGGUGGCGCACACCUUUAACCUCAGCACUCAGGAGGCAGAGUCAGUCAGACCUCUAUAAAUUCCAGGCCAGCAUGGUUUAUAUGGCGUUAUAGCUAAGGCUAUACAGAAGACUGUGUAUAAACAAACGUGAUAGACACAGAAAGAAUAAAUAGCCUGAGUGUGUCUCCGGGCAAUGGACUGAGGUCAUGCAGUGGUUAUGUCAAUAACGGAAACUACGUCGUGACGCCCCCUCCCCCAUAAAGGCAAAGGUACUGAGGAUUUUAAUAACGAACAUUACUUGAGGAUGUGGCUAGGGAAAUCACUAUGGCCUCUGUCACCCUAGUCUCUCCACUCCGGAGAGGAAAGGCCGUUGGGAGAACGCACGCCUCAAAAAGAACCGCUGCGAAGACCCCCCCAUGUCCUCCCCCCGCCGAAGUCAAAGAGAAAAGCCUCUCUAGGGCGCAGGCCGCGGAAGAUGGAACCCAAGCGCCUCAGGCCACGGCCACAGCGUCCGCAGGGGCCCGCGGGCCGUCACUGUCCCCGAGGCCCUUAGGCCGGUCUGAGAGCGCCUCUAACCCCCGAAAACAGUCGCGGCCGCCCGGGACCCGGCUGGGGCUCGGCGCCGCGGCCGCGCCGGCCCGAGCACGCACGGCGUCCGCCCGAGCAGGCUGAGGGGCGCAGGCAGGCCGCACCUGAGGGGCCGGGAGCCGGCGCGCUGGGGGAAGGGCGCGCCGCGCGGGGCCUGCUCCGACCCGCACAAAAGGGGCCGUGUCCGUCGCUCGCCUGCCCCACCGCGGCCGCCACCGCCCGCCCGCGCCUCCCACCUCCGGCGUCCCCGAGCCCUCCGCCGACCCGCCGCGGGCCGAAGCAGCAUGACUCGGCCUCCCACCGCUCCAGAGCAAAAGCACUAAGCAGUCCUUCACCUGUGUCCGGUCCGGUUUAACACCGAAGCCAUUUCAAAACCCGUCAAGUCCAGGCGCAUGCGCCAACUUCGCCCUCUUCCCACCACGCCGCACCUCCUCCCGUCUCGGCGAGGCACCGGCGCCGGCGGCGGGACGUUCGGCGUGCGCGCUCCCCGCGUGCGCGCUCACAAGCGCCCGGAGUUAGCGCGUGCCCGAGCCGGGUUACCUUGGCUUUGCUUCACAAUGAGCUGGCCGUCCUUGUGCCCGGCUCGGAGGCAAAACGGGGCUCCUCACUGGGAGCCAGAGAACCAGAGAACCAGUGGGGGUCACGUGGUCACGCCGGGUUGGCCGCCAUCUUGUGGUUGUCCAUUUUCUAGUAUACUGCGAUUUGCUUGAAAGAAUGAAAGUAACCCCAUAACUAUGGAAGGAAAAGAGUUUCCAGCUGGCCACAGUGGCACAUCUCCAUAUUCCCAGGCAGAAGGAUUACCACAAGUUGAAGGCCAGCUUUGACAAAACGGGUAUCUUUGGUGGACAGAAGAGCCUGUCAGAUCCUCUGGAGCUGGAGUCAUCAGCUGGGGGUGAGCCACCUUUAUGUGAGCACCAGGAACUGAACCCAGAUGCUUUGAAAAGGCAGCGUGUUCUGUAACCACAGAGCCAUCUCUCCAGCUAUGCUCUACUGACUUUUUGAUACACAGUCUCUCACUGAAGCUGGAGCUUGCAGUUUAAGCUAGAAGUGUGCUGUCCAACAAUAUUUCUCAACACCCCAUGAGCCUCAGGGACCUGGCUGUCCCCACAUCCCCAGUGCUAUUGUUACAGCCACUCGAGGUUAUAGCACUCAGGUCACAGAUGCUCAGUUGUCAUACCGAUGCUGGAUUCCGAACUUGGUCCUUGGGUCUAACACUUAAAUAAUCAUGUCAUCAAGGCAUGGGCCACUACCACCACGACCACCACCACCACCACUCACGUUUUUUGGCAAUUUUGAUUCUAAUAAAAAUUAAUAGUAUUGACUAUCA